AUUGAACGCUGGCGGCAUGCCUUACACAUGCAAGUCGAACGGCAGCGCGGGGGCAACCUGGCGGCGAGUGGCGAACGGGUGAGUAAUAUAUCGGAACAUACCCUAGAGUGGGGGAUAACGUAGCGAAAGUUACGCUAAUACCGCAUACGCACUAAGGUGGAAAGUGGGGGAUCUUCGGACCUCAUGCUCAUGGAGUGGCCGAUAUCUGAUUAGCUAGUUGGUGAGGUAAAGGCUCACCAAGGCGACGAUCAGUAGCUGGUUUUGAGAGAACGACCAGCCACACUGGAACUGAGACACGGUCCAGACUCCUACGGAGGCAGCAGUGGGGAAUUUUUGGGACAAUGGGGGCAACCCUGAUCCAGCAAUGCCGCGUGAGUGAAGAAGG
Molecule: ribosomal RNA, 385 nt
Filed under: uncultured bacterium
Lineage: Bacteria
Description: bacterial SSU rRNA
Rfam family: Bacterial small subunit ribosomal RNA
Source: RNAcentral